Long non-coding RNA from Mauremys reevesii (Reeves's turtle), 488 nucleotides. RefSeq lists it as uncharacterized. The transcript has 2 exons. The record is from RefSeq and is a predicted model, not a curated record. NCBI's taxonomy places the organism in Eukaryota, Metazoa, Chordata, Testudines, Geoemydidae.
UUGGGAAGGGCCUGAAGGAGAAGGGUGCGGUGUGGCAGGGGGGUCUGGGAGUCUCAGGUGAUGGAGGCACCGGACAAGUGGCAGGGGCUGAGCACAGAGGGUGCAGAGGGCAGCAGAAGGAGGGAGCUGAGGAGGAGGGUGAAUUUUCUGCGAGCACCAGUGCAAAGGCUCCAUGAGCUCCUCGGUCUACCCCUACCUUGGUGGGCUGGAGCUGCUCAAAGAUGUUCCCUCUGAGGGUGGCGGCGGCUCUGUUGGCGUUUCGCUCCUGCUUGUACAGCUGCGUCGUCGGGGGCACGGACGGGGCCAGUGCCGCGUUCAGACUUUGACCAGAUCUCGCAUUUCCUUGCUGCUUUGGACAUCGGCUCCAGAGGAUACAUUUAUUAUUCGUUUGGAGACCAAGGAACUGGCUAAUUAACAGCUGUGCUACUUUAAGGAUGUAUAAUCGUUCCCAUCCUCCAGGAAAUCAACACGUUCCCCUCUGCACCUCC